This 407-nucleotide ribosomal RNA is filed under the name uncultured bacterium. RNAcentral's name for it is "bacterial SSU rRNA". It matches the Rfam family "Bacterial small subunit ribosomal RNA", at positions 114 to 507 of the family's 1533-position model. The record is from RNAcentral.
CACGUGGGUAACCUGCCUCAAUGAUUGGGACAACCCGGGGAAACUCGGGCUAAUACCAAAUGUGUUCACUCCUUCUAAGGGGGAGUGAGGAAGGAAGCUUCGGGCCUCCGCAUUGAGAUGGGCCCGCGGCCCAUUAGCUUGUUGGUGAGGUAACGGCUCACCAAGGGCUUCGAUGGGUAGCUGGUCUGAGAGGACGAUCAGCCACACUGGGACUGAGACACGGCCCAGACUCCUACGGGAGGCAGCAGUGGGGAAUCUUGCACAAUGCGCGAAAGCGUGAUGCAGCAACGCCGCGUGGGGAAGACGGCCUUCGGGUUGUAAACCCCUUUCAGUUGGGACGAAGCUUCGUCGGUGAAUAGCCGGUUGGAGUGACGGUACCUUCAGAAGAAGCCCCGGCUAACUACGUG